CAAAACCUCUCAAGAACUAUUUUGUUUUUUGGUACUGGGCUGGGAGGAAUUGGGCUAUAUUAUAGCCCGCUCCCGCCUUAAACUUGCUGCAUGACCGCAAGCUUCACUGCUAGGUUUAAUGGAGUGGUGUCUACAUUUCUUCCAUAUAUCAUGCAGUAGCUUAUGUGGCGUUAAACCUGAUGUUACUGUUAAGGUGACUGAU
RNAcentral lists this unclassified non-coding RNA (202 nucleotides) under uncultured Orbiliales. RNAcentral describes it as "sequence contains ITS2". The record is from RNAcentral. Lineage: Eukaryota; Fungi; Ascomycota; Orbiliomycetes; Orbiliales.